CCAUAGCUCAGAGGGAGAGCAUCUGCUUUGUGAGCAGAAGGUCCUAAGUUCAGUCCUCAGCGUGGAUGGA
This is a non-coding RNA of Podarcis lilfordi (Lilford's wall lizard), 70 nucleotides long. The record is from the annotation of a GenBank genome assembly. NCBI's taxonomy places the organism in Eukaryota, Metazoa, Chordata, Lepidosauria, Squamata, Lacertidae.